This 840-nucleotide long non-coding RNA is filed under the name Nicotiana benthamiana. RNAcentral's name for it is "long non-coding RNA (NBEN_LNC020603)". The record is from RNAcentral. Lineage: Eukaryota; Viridiplantae; Streptophyta; Magnoliopsida; Solanales; Solanaceae.
AUUAUUAUUUUUAAGACCAUGGUGUCCGGGCCAGCUUGUGCACCCGACUAAUUCCACGAGAUAUCUGCUACCUCCCACCAACAACAUGUACCAUUGAACUCAAUCCAUCAGAACUCGGACAGAUGUAAAGAAAUCACCUAGUGUUUUUACGAGACCUCCUGGUUCUUAACCCACUUCAUUGACCACUUGGCCACACUAAUUUGGGUGCACAAAUAUAAAUUGCGAUAUAAAUGCUCUAAUCUAUUUCAACUGAGAAUUAUAUAUAGCAUGAAUAUAAAUAUACAGAAAAUUGUGUGUGUGUGUGUGUGUGAGAGAGAGAGAGAGAGAGAGACUGAACUGUGAUCGAUGAAUUGCUUGGCUUGUUGAAUGUCGCUAGAUGCGAGAACGGUGGAGAGAAUGUGCUUGUACUGUUCGAUUUUCUGGCGUUGGUCGCUGAUCGCCGAGGCGCUAGCGAACGCACUCUCCAUUGCGAAUUAGGGUUUCGUAUAUCUCUCUGGGCAAAACCAAAUCUUCUCGACUACGUAAUUGUUGCGAGUGUCGUGGAGUUCUUUUUCAAAGCGUUAAUGGAGCUUACCAAUUUUUGUUUGGCCUAUAACAGUUUGUAUUGUAUUUAUUCUGAUCGCCGAGGCGCUAGCGAACGCACUCUCCAUUGCGAAUUAGGGUUUCGUAUGUCUCUCUGGGCAAAACGAAAUCUUCUCGACUACUAAUUGUUGCGAGUGUCGUCGAGUUCUUUUUCAAAGCGUUAAUGGAGCUUACCAAUUUUUGUUUGGCCUAUAAAUAGGGAUUUGUCUGUCAUCUGUUUGCCUGCUUUGGUAUUGUCUUACGGGUGUUCAAUGUUCG